Molecule: long non-coding RNA, 1008 nt
Filed under: Phascolarctos cinereus (koala)
Lineage: Eukaryota; Metazoa; Chordata; Mammalia; Diprotodontia; Phascolarctidae
Description: lncRNA (ENSPCIG00000031400.1)
Source: RNAcentral
AUGAUUCAGUCUAGGAACGAGGAAAAAGAUGUUUGUUUCCAAAAUGCUAUGAAAGCGUCUGAGAAGUUAACCAUGCUUUUAAACCAGAUACAUCAGUGCAGGCUAGAUAAGACAGAACAGUUCCAUAAGAGCAUUCUUCAAUAAUUGGACAACUUUAAGAAGGAUGUUCAAGCUCUGAAAGACCUUGAGAAGGAAAUCCUGGUAGGUUCUGGCUUUUCUUCUUCUCUGGGGUCUAUCUGCUUAUUGUUUUAGGGCAAAGUUGUGACUUUUUCUUCUCUGCAUCAAUUUUAGGACGUUCGGAAGGAACAAUCACCAAACUAAAUUCGUUCUGUGAGCUGCACAUGCAGAGGUACUUAUUUUGUUUUAAAGCAUUCUUUCGGGGACAGUGAUCCCAGUCAUUGAAUCAUAGGUGUAGACCUGGAAGGGUCCUUAGCAGCCAUCAAGUGCCAUCCAUCUCAUUUUACAGAUGAGAAAACCGAGACGCAGAAGGAAAGGACAAAGCUGCCAAGGCAGUUAGGUGGCGCAGUGCAUAGAAUGCUGGUUCUGGAGCAUGUUCUUGAGUUUGGAUCUGAAGUCAGGCUUGGAGUUAGGAAGACUGGAGCUCCAAUCUGGUCUCAGACACUAGCUGUGUGACCCUGGCCAAGUCACAACCUCUGUUUCAGUUUCGUCAACUGUAAAAUGAGGGUGAUUACAACAUCUACUUCUCUGGAUCAUUUUGAAUAUAAAAUGAGAAUAUUUGUAAAACGUUUUGUAGACCUGAAAGCAUUGUAUUUGUGUUAGCUAUCAUCAUUAAGUAAUUUGCCCAGGGUCAUACAGCUGGUAAGUGUCUUUAGGUGUUCCUAACUCCAAGUCUCGGGCAAUACACCAUUGAUGUCAAACUCAAAUAGAAAACAUCCCUAGAGGCAGCCUAUUGACUUAGAAAACACAAGUUAACAUUAUAUACAUUGUAUUGUAUUCUUACUUAUUUUGUUAAAUAAACAUUUCCCAAUUACAUUUUAAUCUAGUUCA